GUGUCAGCAGCCGCGGUAAUACAGAGGGUGCAAGCGUUGUUCGGAAUUAUUGGGCGUAAAGCGCGUGUAGGCGGCAUGGUAAGUCGGGUGUGAAAUCCCUCAGCUCAACUGAGGAAGUGCGCCCGAAACUGCCGUGCUUGAGUGCCGGAGAGGAUGGCGGAAUUCCCCAAGUAGAGGUGAAAUUCGUAGAUAUGGGGAGGAACACCGGUGGCGAAGGCGGCCAUCUGGACGGCAACUGACGCUGAGACGCGAAAGCGUGGGUAGCAAACAGGAUUAGAAACCCGCGUAGUCC
Molecule: ribosomal RNA, 292 nt
Filed under: uncultured bacterium
Lineage: Bacteria
Description: partial 16S ribosomal RNA
Rfam family: Bacterial small subunit ribosomal RNA
Source: RNAcentral